Long non-coding RNA from Poecilia latipinna (sailfin molly), 447 nucleotides. RefSeq lists it as uncharacterized. The record is from RefSeq and is a predicted model, not a curated record. NCBI's taxonomy places the organism in Eukaryota, Metazoa, Chordata, Actinopteri, Cyprinodontiformes, Poeciliidae. The transcript is spliced from 3 exons.
AACGCGUUAAAUUCCCGUCUCUAAUGUAAAUAAGAACCCAGAACCUUUUCUGGACUCUCAUUCUGGGUCAGCAGGACUUUAAAGCUGCUGUGGUUUUAAAAAUGAUUUGAUGCAUUUUUACUGCAGCAGAAUGAAAUAAAUCUGUAGUUUUAUUUUAAAGUUUUGCGCCUGCACAGCCAGCCUUCCAGAACCGGAGCUGUCUGGAGCAGAACCGACCGGCUGAACCCGACCCGGCGGACUGGAGACGGCCAGAUGUGACCGGAGCUGUAAACCUUCCUGCGGUUUAACGGCUCGAGCCGCCGCCGCAGACCCAGAUUCUGUCCUGAGGACCGGACCGGACCGGUCCGGGUCGGAACACCAAGACACAUUUGGCACAGGCUUUGUGUCAGGAAGCCUGGAGUUCUUCCCCACCUGGCGGCGCUGUAGUCCCAGCUGGCCUGCUCUAUC